Molecule: microRNA precursor, 78 nt
Filed under: Schistosoma margrebowiei
Lineage: Eukaryota; Metazoa; Platyhelminthes; Trematoda; Strigeidida; Schistosomatidae
Description: mir-3492 microRNA precursor family
Rfam family: mir-3492 microRNA precursor family
Source: Rfam by way of RNAcentral
AGCUUUCUGUAUCCGUGCUGAGGUUUUGUCGCACAUUAGACCACAAAGGCUGAUCAGAAUCCCAAGAUAAGUGAAGCA